CGUCAGGAUAUGCCUAGGUGGGAUUAGCUAGUUGGUGAGGUAAGGGCUCACCAAGGCGACGAUCCCUAGCUGGUCUGAGAGGAUGAUCAGCCACACUGGAACUGAGACACGGUCCAGACUCCUACGGGAGGCAGCAGUGGGGAAUAUUGCACAAUGGGCGCAAGCCUGAUGCAGCCAUGCCGCGUGUGUGAAGAAGGCCUUCGGGUUGUAAAGCACUUUCAGUCGUGAGGAAGGUAGUGUAGUUAAUAGCUGCAUUAUUUGACGUUAGCGACAGAAGAAGCACCGGCUAACUCCGUGCCAGCAGCCGCGGUAAUACGGAGGGUGCGAGCGUUAAUCGGAAUUACUGGGCGUAAAGCGCAUGCAGGUGGUUUGUUAAGUCAGAUGUGAAAGCCCGGGGCUCAACCUCGGAAUUGCAUUUGAAACUGGCAGACUAGAGUACUGUAGAGGGGGGUAGAAUUUCAGGUGUAGCGGUGAAAUGCGUAGAGAUCUGAAGGAAUACCGGUGGCGAAGGCGGCCCCCUGGACAGAUACUGACACUCAGAUGCGAAAGCGUGGGGAGCAAACAGGAUUAGAUACCCUGGUAGUCCACGCCGUAAACGAUGUCUACUUGGAGGUUGUGGCCUUGAGCCGUGGCUUUCGGAGCUAACGCGUUAAGUAGACCGCCUGGGGAGUACGGUCGCAAGAUUAAAACUCAAAUGAAUUGACGGGGGCCCGCACAAGCGGUGGAGCAUGUGGUUUAAUUCGAUGCAACGCGAAGAACCUUACCUACUCUUGACAUCCAGAGAACUUUCCAGAGAUGG
RNAcentral lists this ribosomal RNA (799 nucleotides) under Vibrio parahaemolyticus. Its description in RNAcentral is "bacterial SSU rRNA". It matches the Rfam family "Bacterial small subunit ribosomal RNA", at positions 218 to 1009 of the family's 1533-position model. The record is from RNAcentral. Lineage: Bacteria; Pseudomonadati; Pseudomonadota; Gammaproteobacteria; Vibrionales; Vibrionaceae.